This 377-nucleotide ribosomal RNA is filed under the name uncultured bacterium. Its description in RNAcentral is "bacterial SSU rRNA". It matches the Rfam family "Bacterial small subunit ribosomal RNA", at positions 521 to 896 of the family's 1533-position model. The record is from RNAcentral.
UAAUACAGAGGGUGCAAGCGUUGUCCGGAAUCACUGGGCGUAAAGGGCGCGUAGGCGGCCGGGUAAGUAGGGGGUGAAAUCUCAUGGCUCAACUGUGAGGCUGCCUCCUAGACUGCUUGGCUUGAGCAUGGUAGAGGCUGGUGGAAUUCCCGGUGUAGCGGUGGAAUGCGUAGAGAUCGGGAAGAACAUCGGUGGCGAAGGCGGCCAGCUGGGCCAUUGCUGACGCUGAGGCGCGAAAGCGUGGGGAGCAAACAGGAUUAGAUACCCUGGUAGUCCACGCUGUAAACGAUGGGUACUAGGCGUCGGGGGGAGCGACCCCUUCGGUGCCGUCGCUAACGCAAUAAGUACCCCGCCUGGGGAGUACGGUCGCAAGACUG